GUAUCAGCAAACAAGCGAGUUGUAAAGCAAAUAAGUAGAUCAAUUAAUCAUUGUUAAGUAAAGCAAUUGUAAACGGACUGUGUUUCAAUUGGAAAUAAAACGUCUGCAGUAAAAACGAAACAAUAUUUUGAGCUAUCCCUGGAUAUUUUUUCAGAUAUGCGAGGAACAAUUCGAAGAGUACCUUAAGAGUGACUUCACAAAUGUGAAUGUUUGGCUUAGAAUGAAUAAACUUAAAUUGAAUGAAAAGAAGACAAAAAGUAUGCAAAUCAUUAUGACAAAUGAGAUAAAUUUCGAAAUAAACAGACAAAUAAUAGAAAAAUUUGGAUAAUAAUACAAAUCUCGGCUUCGUUAUCGACCAAAAACUAAAUUUCAAGGAACAAUAUGAGUAAAAAAUUGCAAAAAAGUUGUGUUCUUCAUAAGGAUAAGGAACAGUAUAAACAAUGACGGCGUUGAAUAUAUACAAUAUUUUAAUAUUGGGUUGCCCAAAAAGUAAUUGCGGAUUUUUCAUAUAGUCGGCGUUGACAAAUUUAUUCACAGCUUGUGACUCUGUAAUUGCAUUCUUUCUUCUGUCAGUUAUCAGCUGUUACUUUUAGCUUGCUUUAGAAAAAAGUUUAAAAAAAGUAUAUUUGAUUAAAGUUCAUUCUAAGUUUUACUAAAAAUGCAUUUAUUUUCUUUUAAAAAAUCCGCAAUUACUUUUUGGGCAACCCAAUACAACCCCUCUUUAAAUUCGGUUCUACAAUUCUUGAUAUGUGUUGUAAUGAUUUCCAGCUUGAUAGACUCUGAAAACUACACCCAAUAAAUGAUAUGUUACUCACACCAAUAAAUUAUAUGUUACAAACCUAAAAUGGCAAACAUUAAAACAGA
Molecule: long non-coding RNA, 864 nt
Organism: Stomoxys calcitrans (stable fly)
Lineage: Eukaryota; Metazoa; Arthropoda; Insecta; Diptera; Muscidae
Exons: 2
Source: RefSeq, a predicted model, not a curated record